UUUUGCCUACGGGGGGCAGCAGUGAGGAAUAUUGGUCAAUGGCCGAGAGGCUGAACCAGCCACGUCGCGUGAGGGAAGACGGCCCUACGGGUUGUAAACCUCUUUUGUCGGGGAGCAAAGAGAGUCACGUGUGACUCAUUGAGAGUACCCGAAGAAAAAGCAUCGGCUAACUCCGUGCCAGCAGCCGCGUUAAUACGGAGGAUGCGAGCGUUAUCCGGAUUUAUUGGGUUUAAAGGGUGCGCAGGCGUAGGUGCAAGUCAGCGGUCAAAUUGCGGGGUUCAACCCCGUACUGCCGUUGCAACUGC
Molecule: ribosomal RNA, 305 nt
Filed under: uncultured bacterium
Lineage: Bacteria
Description: bacterial SSU rRNA
Rfam family: Bacterial small subunit ribosomal RNA
Source: RNAcentral